This 495-nucleotide ribosomal RNA is filed under the name uncultured bacterium. RNAcentral's name for it is "partial 16S ribosomal RNA". It matches the Rfam family "Bacterial small subunit ribosomal RNA", at positions 28 to 507 of the family's 1533-position model. The record is from RNAcentral.
GAUGAACGCUGGCGGCGUGCCUAAUACAUGCAAGUAGAACGCUGAAGGAGGAGCUUGCUCUUCUGGAUGAGUUGCGAACGGGUGAGUAACGCGUAGGUAACCUGCCUGGUAGCGGGGGAUAACUAUUGGAAACGAUAGCUAAUACCGCAUGACAACAGUUAUUGCAUGAUAACUGUUUAAAAGGGGCAACUGCUCCACUACCAGAUGGACCUGCGUUGUAUUAGCUAGUUGGUGAGGUAACGGCUCACCAAGGCGACGAUACAUAGCCGACCUGAGAGGGUGAUCGGCCACACUGGGACUGAGACACGGCCCAGACUCCUACGGGAGGCAGCAGUAGGGAAUCUUCGGCAAUGGACGGAGGUCUGACCGAGCAACGCCGCGUGAGUGAAGAAGGUUUUCGGAUCGUAAAGCUCUGUUGUAAGAGAAGAACGAGUGUGAGAGUGGAAAGUUCACACUGUGACGGUAUCUUACCAGAAAGGGACGGCUAACUACGUG